RNAcentral lists this transfer RNA (80 nucleotides) under Streptosporangium pseudovulgare. Its description in RNAcentral is "tRNA-Ser". Lineage: Bacteria; Bacillati; Actinomycetota; Actinomycetes; Streptosporangiales; Streptosporangiaceae. The record is from RNAcentral.
UCGGGAUCCGGGGUGCGCGGCAGGCGCAGCAGCGCCUGCUGGAGGUCGGCGGCCAGCGGUUCGGCCCCGGUGGCCUCGAU